RNAcentral lists this unclassified non-coding RNA (270 nucleotides) under fungal sp. RNAcentral's name for it is "partial internal transcribed spacer region". The stretch from base 1 to 46 matches the Rfam family "Eukaryotic small subunit ribosomal RNA", at positions 1786 to 1831 of the family's 1831-position model. Lineage: Eukaryota; Fungi. The record is from RNAcentral.
AAGUCGUAACAAGGUCUCCGUAGGUGAACCUGCGGAGGGAUCAUUCACAUGAUUACUUUUUAGAAACAAACUGUGAACUUUAUUAUUUACUAUUCGUGUGUUUUCAACAUUGUUGUUCAUCACACUGUCAUUCGAUCGAACAUAAAGAUAGUUGGCUUGUAUUGUUUUACAAUACUUUCUCAGCUUUGAUUUUUCAUGUAACUAAACAUUACUUGAUAAUCAACCAAUCAAUAGAAUUAACAACUCUAUGCCCUGGAUAUCUUGGUUCUC